RNAcentral lists this ribosomal RNA (235 nucleotides) under uncultured fungus. RNAcentral's name for it is "partial 18S ribosomal RNA". It matches the Rfam family "Eukaryotic small subunit ribosomal RNA", at positions 40 to 274 of the family's 1831-position model. The record is from RNAcentral. Lineage: Eukaryota; Fungi.
AAGAUUAAGCCAUGCAUGUCUAAGUAUAAACAAUUCUAUACUGUGAAACUGCGAAUGGCUCAUUAAAUCAGUUAUAGUUUAUUUGAUAAUACCUACUACUUGGAUAACCGUGGUAAUUCUAGAGCUAAUACAUGCACAAAAACCCGACUUCUGGAAGGGUUGUAUUUAUUAGAUAAAAAACCAAUGCGGUCUCGGCCGGUUAUUUGGUGAUUCAUAAUAACUUUGCGAAUCGUAU